UACGGGGGGAGCAAGCGUUGUUCGGAUUUACUGGGCGUAAAGGGCGCGUAGGCGGUCGUGACAAGUCACUUGUGAAAUCUCCGGGCUUAACUCGGAACGGUCAAGUGAUACUGUCGGACUAGAGUACAGAAGGGGCAACUGGAAUUCUCGGUGUAGCGGUGAAAUGCGUAGAUAUCGAGAGGAACGCCGGUGGCGAAAGCGACACACUGGACCUUGUCUGACGCUGAGGCACGAAAGCCAGGGGAGCGAACGGG
RNAcentral lists this ribosomal RNA (254 nucleotides) under uncultured bacterium. RNAcentral's name for it is "partial 16S ribosomal RNA". It matches the Rfam family "Bacterial small subunit ribosomal RNA", at positions 524 to 776 of the family's 1533-position model. The record is from RNAcentral.